RNAcentral lists this ribosomal RNA (609 nucleotides) under uncultured Lachnospiraceae bacterium. RNAcentral's name for it is "bacterial SSU rRNA". It matches the Rfam family "Bacterial small subunit ribosomal RNA", at positions 94 to 721 of the family's 1533-position model. The record is from RNAcentral. Lineage: Bacteria; Bacillati; Bacillota; Clostridia; Lachnospirales; Lachnospiraceae.
AGUGGCGGACGGGUGAGUAACGCGUGGGUAACCUGCCUUAUACAGGGGGAUAACAGUCAGAAAUGGCUGCUAAUACCGCAUAAGACCACAGCACCGCAUGGUGCGGGGGUAAAAACUCCGGUGGUAUGAGAUGGACCCGCGUCUGAUUAGCUAGUUGGUAAGGUAACGGCUUACCAAGGCGACGAUCAGUAGCCGACCUGAGAGGGUGACCGGCCACAUUGGGACUGAGACACGGCCCAAACUCCUACGGGAGGCAGCAGUGGGGAAUAUUGCACAAUGGGGGAAACCCUGAUGCAGCGACGCCGCGUGAGCGAAGAAGUAUUUCGGUAUGUAAAGCUCUAUCAGCAGGGAAGAAGAUGACGGUACCUGACUAAGAAGCACCGGCUAAAUACGUGCCAGCAGCCGCGGUAAUACGUAUGGUGCAAGCGUUAUCCGGAUUUACUGGGUGUAAAGGGAGCGUAGACGGAUGGGCAAGUCUGAUGUGAAAACCCGGGGCUCAACCCCGGGACUGCAUUGGAAACUGUUCAUCUAGAGUGCUGGAGAGGUAAGUGGAAUUCCUAGUGUAGCGGUGAAAUGCGUAGAUAUUGGGAGGAACACCAGUGGCGAAGG